GAGCGCCGUAGCAAUACGGAGAGGCAGACGGGAGAGUACACGUGGGAACGUGCCCUUUGGUUCGGAACAACCCAGGGAAACUUGGGCUAAUACCGGAUAAGCCCUUACGGGGAAAGAUUUGUCGCCGAAGGAUCGGCCCGCGUCUGAUUAGCUAGUUGGUGGGGUAAUGGCCCACCAAGGCGACGAUCAGUAGCUGGUCUGAGAGGAUGAUCAGCCUCACUGGGACUGAGACACGGCCCAUACUCCUACGGGAGGCAGCAGUGGGGAAUAUUGGACAAUGGGCGCAAGCCUGAUCCAGCCAUGCCGCGUGAGUGAUGAAGGCCCUAGGGUUGUAAAGCUCUUUUGUGCGGGAAGAUAAUGACGGUACCGCAAGAAUAAGCCCCGGCUAACUUCGUGCCAGCAGCCGCGGUAAU
This 413-nucleotide ribosomal RNA is filed under the name uncultured bacterium. RNAcentral describes it as "bacterial SSU rRNA". It matches the Rfam family "Bacterial small subunit ribosomal RNA", at positions 64 to 524 of the family's 1533-position model. The record is from RNAcentral.